AUCCAACUGACGAAUUCCAAGUAAAAUUAAACGCGCGUCCUGGAU
This 45-nucleotide non-coding RNA is filed under the name Schistosoma margrebowiei. Lineage: Eukaryota; Metazoa; Platyhelminthes; Trematoda; Strigeidida; Schistosomatidae. The record is from RNAcentral.